Non-coding RNA from Hordeum vulgare subsp. vulgare (domesticated barley), 136 nucleotides. NCBI's taxonomy places the organism in Eukaryota, Viridiplantae, Streptophyta, Magnoliopsida, Poales, Poaceae. The record is from Rfam.
CAAGUACUUCCUCCGUUUCAAAAUUCUUGUCUUAGGUUUAUAUAGAAAUGAAUGUAUCUAAAUACUAANACGUGACUAGAUACAUUCAUAUAUAGAUAAAUCUAAGACAAGAAUUUUGUGAUGGAGGGAGUAACUG